GGGCGUGUGGCGUAGUUGGUAGCGCGUUCGCCUUGCAACCGAAAGGUCAUCGGUUCGACUCCGGUCUCGUCCA
RNAcentral lists this transfer RNA (73 nucleotides) under Pichia kudriavzevii. It matches the Rfam family "tRNA". From Rfam's summary of the family: Transfer RNA (tRNA) molecules are approximately 80 nucleotides in length. Their secondary structure includes four short double-helical elements and three loops (D, anti-codon, and T loops). Lineage: Eukaryota; Fungi; Ascomycota; Pichiomycetes; Pichiales; Pichiaceae. The record is from Rfam by way of RNAcentral.